AAUCUUCAAAAUCCCUCUCUUUUGAGUGAUUUUUGGACUUGGAGGUUCAAUGCUCGCUUUUGCCUUUUAGAAAGCGAGCUCCUCUCAAAUGAAUCAGUGGGGUCUGCUUUGCCGGUCCUUGACGUGAUAAGAUCUUUCUACGUUUUGGAUUCGACAUUGUCCCGCUUCCAAUCGUCCCACGGACAAAGGGAUGGUGCUCCGGUCGUGGCCGGACCCACCAAAGAAAA
This 227-nucleotide unclassified non-coding RNA is filed under the name uncultured Russula. Its description in RNAcentral is "sequence contains ITS2". The record is from RNAcentral. Lineage: Eukaryota; Fungi; Basidiomycota; Agaricomycetes; Russulales; Russulaceae.